This 253-nucleotide ribosomal RNA is filed under the name uncultured bacterium. RNAcentral's name for it is "partial 16S ribosomal RNA". It matches the Rfam family "Bacterial small subunit ribosomal RNA", at positions 524 to 776 of the family's 1533-position model. The record is from RNAcentral.
UACGUAGGGUGCGAGCGUUAAUCGGAAUUACUGGGCGUAAAGCGUGCGCAGGCGGUUUUGUAAGGCAGAUGUGAAAGCCCCGGGCUCAACCUGGGAAUGGCAUUUGGGACUGCAAGGCUGGAGUAUGGCAGAGGAGACUAGAAUUCCUGGUGUAGCAGUGAAAUGCGUAGAUAUCAGGAGGAAUACCGAUGGCGAAGGCAGGUCUCUGGGCCAAUACUGACGCUCAUGCACGAAAGCGUGGGGAGCAAACAGG